Molecule: ribosomal RNA, 450 nt
Filed under: uncultured bacterium
Lineage: Bacteria
Description: partial 16S ribosomal RNA
Rfam family: Bacterial small subunit ribosomal RNA
Source: RNAcentral
GUGGGGAAUCUUCCGCAAUGGACGAAAGUCUGACGGAGCAACGCCGCGUGAGUGAUGAAGGUCUUCGGAUUGUAAAGCUCUGUUAAUCGGGACGAAAGAGCCUAGUGUGAAUAAUGCUAGGAAGUGACGGUACCGGAAUAGAAAGCCACGGCUAACUACGUGCCAGCAGCCGCGGUAAUACGUAGGUGGCAAGCGUUGUCCGGAAUUAUUUGGCGUAAAGCGCGCGCAGGCGGAUCUGCCAGUCUGUCUUAAAAGUUCGGGGCUUAACCCCGUGAUGGGAUGGAAACUACAGAUCUAGAGUAUCGGAGAGGAAAGUGGAAUUCCUAGUGUAGCGGUGAAAUGCGUAGAUAUUUGGAAGAACACCAGUGGCGAAGGCGACUUUCUGGACGAUGUCUGACGCUGAGGCGCGAAAGCUAGGGGAGCGAACGGGAUUAGAAACCCGUGUAGUCC